RNAcentral lists this small nucleolar RNA (91 nucleotides) under Rhinocladiella mackenziei CBS 650.93. The record is from RNAcentral. Lineage: Eukaryota; Fungi; Ascomycota; Eurotiomycetes; Chaetothyriales; Herpotrichiellaceae.
UUCCAAUGAUGAUCAAAGGUUUUCUCAAUCAGUUCUGCUUCUGAAUCUCAUUGAAGAAUCCAUUACCAAAGCUUACCAAAUUUUCUGAUCU